GAUUUCUGGCUUAAGGAGUCCGCUCGUUCGGCGUAAGUCGUUCUGGGUGGUUCGCCUUGGCCAUCUUUUCAGCUAACUCGGGACCCUUAACUGGGCUCCGAGGGAUCUGAAUCUUUUACUUUGAAAAAAUUAGAGUGUUUAAAGCAGGCGUCUGCCAUGAAUACAUUAGCAUGGAAUAAUAAUUUAGGACUUUCCUCCUAUUUUAUUGGUUUCUAGGGGUAAAGUAAUGAUUGAUAGGGAUAGUUGGGGGUGCUAGUAUUCACCGGCCAGAGGUGAAAUUCUUGGAUUCGGUGAAGACUAACUUAUGCGAAAGCAUU
RNAcentral lists this ribosomal RNA (317 nucleotides) under uncultured Paracercomonas. RNAcentral's name for it is "SSU rRNA". The stretch from base 97 to 317 matches the Rfam family "Eukaryotic small subunit ribosomal RNA", at positions 733 to 955 of the family's 1831-position model. The record is from RNAcentral. Lineage: Eukaryota; Cercozoa; Cercomonadida; Cercomonadidae.